GAUGAACGCUGGCGGCGUGUCUAAUACAUGCAAGUCGAGCGAACGGACGAGAAGCUUGCUUCUCUGAUGUUAGCGGCGGACGGGUGAGUAACACGUGGAUAACCUACCUAUAAGACUGGGAUAACUUCGGGAAACCGGAGCUAAUACCGGAUAAUAUUUUGAACCGCAUGGUUCAAAAGUGAAAGACGGUCUUGCUGUCACUUAUAGAUGGAUACGCGCUGCAUUAGCUAGUUGGUAAGGUAACGGCUUACCAAGGCAACGAUGCAUAGCCGACCUGAGAGGGUGAUCGGCCACACUGGAACUGAGACACGGUCCAGACUCCUACGGGAGGCAGCAGUAGGGAAUCUUCCGCAAUGGGCGAAAGCCUGACGGAGCAACGCCGCGUGAGUGAUGAAGGUCUUCGGAUCGUAAAACUCUGUUAUUAGGGAAGAACAUAUGUGUAAGUAACUGUGCACAUCUUGACGGUACCUAAUCAGAAAGCCACGGCUAACUACGUG
This 497-nucleotide ribosomal RNA is filed under the name uncultured bacterium. RNAcentral's name for it is "partial 16S ribosomal RNA". It matches the Rfam family "Bacterial small subunit ribosomal RNA", at positions 28 to 507 of the family's 1533-position model. The record is from RNAcentral.